RNAcentral lists this small RNA (483 nucleotides) under Pan troglodytes (chimpanzee). RNAcentral describes it as "processed transcript". Lineage: Eukaryota; Metazoa; Chordata; Mammalia; Primates; Hominidae. The record is from RNAcentral.
GCUGGCCAUCAGUGGAACUGGAGGGCUCGCUAAGCACACCACCCAAAUACCCCUCAGAGCUGAGUUCAGUGCCUAGCUGGGUUCAGUGUUUUUAGUAUGAACUUGAGUAGCAAGGGAGGCAGACUUGAGGCGAGGAGCAGAUGACAGAGAGCAGUAACAGCUCUGAAGAAAAGCUAGAGGCUGAUGAGAUGACCAUGACUUGGGGUGAGGGGAGAGAGCAAGACAAGGGCUGCUCUGUCGGGAAGGCCUUUGACUGGGGGCCUGAAUGAUGGAGAGCCAACCACAUGAAAAACUUAAAAACAGCACUGCAAAAAAAGUACUGCCGGCAAGGAAUUGGUAAAUGCAAAGGCCCUGGGGCAUGUUGAAGGGUGGAAGGAAGGCCAGUGGAGCUGGAGUCAAGAGAUGGAGGGGCAGCUUGGUGGGUGAAGAGCCCCAGGGACCUGCAGUGUCAUCACCUAGGAGCUUCCUAGAAAUGCAGACUGA